UUUUUUUUUUUUUUUUUGUUUACUGAUAUUAAGGGGUAUUAAUUGAUUACUGAUAGUCAGUAACUGAUUAUUGGGGGUCAGUAACCAAGGUAUUGGGGGUUAGGUAAUUGAUUACUGAGAGUCAGUAACUGAUUAUUGGGGGUCAGUAACCAUGUUAUUGGGGGCCAGUAACUGAUUAUUGGGAUCAGUAACCAAGUUAUUACGGGUCAAUAACUGAUUAUUGGGGGUCAGUAACUGAUUAUUGGGGGCCAGUAACUGAUUAUUGGGGUCAGUAACCAAGUUAUUAGGGGUCAGUAACCGAGUUACCGGUGACCGGAGAAAAUCUGAGUAACUACGGGUCAAUAACCGGCGACAGAAGAAAUUCCAACAACUGGUGACCGGUGACCGAUGAUCGGAGUCCGGUGAGGUUCCAGCAAAGUCCUCUCGCUCUUUCAUUUUCUCUCUCCUUAUACAUGUAGAAGUGGUGAGGGUAAAGUUGUCUUAAAAAUAUACAAAAAUUAUUAUUUUAUUAUAACUGUACUAUAGAUUUAUGUAUUUGGACAUAAAUAAGAACACCUUAUAUUGGAAUGGGCUCAUGCCUAUUAAAUUCAUUAGAAUGGGCAAUAAGGGGUUUAAAUUAGUACUAAAUAGACAUUUUCCCUAUAGUUUGAUUUCAACUGCUUUAGAAAUCGGAGACAUUUGAAGGUUGAAAUUUCUUUUUACCUUGAGGACCUAUACUCCUAUUUCAGUUCCAUAUAUCAAGUAAAUUGUUUCCAUCAUCAGAACAUGUUCUGUUCUUUGCAUAGCAAUAUAUUCGGUUCUUGAUCAAAGUCCUCUCUUAUUCUGAGUUCUUCCAUUCUAAGCAAAAUGAAGGUGUCACAAGUGACACUGAGAUUGAGAAUGAACAGCAUCAAGCAUUGUUAAAAUUGUAACAAGAAGGUUCAACGAUGCAGCAACAAACUCCUUUUUGGACAACAAACUCCUUUAUAGUAGACUACACAUUUUUGAACCAUAACAAAAGAUACAGUUAGCACUACUAACCAUUAAUAUUCUCUCAUCCAGAAUUCCAGACUGCGUCAGGCCUUAGCUUCCGCGCAUAUAAACCAUAUACAAAAAUGAAUAAGCGAUGAUCCUCACGUCUUUACCACACUUGGGUGUGUCUCAAUUCCUGUCUGCCAGACAUUGCUAUCCAGACAUUGAAUCGACAGUUAGUUAUUGAACUUCCCCACCUGUAUGUUCCUAAACCCAUAGGAACAGAUCUGCAUCCACUUCAAAAGCUGAAGGAAACAUCAAGUUGCAAAGACAACUGGUGUAGCACCAGGGAUGUUCAAGAUUAUAGAACAACCUUUACAAGAUGUGAACCACUCAAUAUACAAAAAGAACAAAACUUUAGGUUACCAGGUCCUAUGAUAUAAUACAUGUAGUAUAUAAAAGAAGAGCACAAGUGAACUAAACUAUGGAGACAAAAAGAAAAAACAAAGAAAA
RNAcentral lists this long non-coding RNA (1464 nucleotides) under Fragaria vesca (wild strawberry). RNAcentral describes it as "long non-coding RNA (FVES_LNC002582)". Lineage: Eukaryota; Viridiplantae; Streptophyta; Magnoliopsida; Rosales; Rosaceae. The record is from RNAcentral.